UUAGCUCUGGACUCAUAUGUUGUGUAUUUUCAUAAUUUUGAUUUUUUGCUUUGAUCAAAAUGUGAGUGUGAUACGAUACAAAUUUGUUACGUAUCAAAAACAAGCCAAAAAUAGUCCACAAACAAAGGGUAACCCGAGAGCUCAACAAACACCAAAUCUCGGUUUCAACAACAUCAAGAAACAAGGUGUAAAUGACACCAAAAGCACUAACAACAACAAGAGAUAAACAAUAAUAACGAGAGGAACAACACUACAAUAACAACAAUCCAACGGUUACAAGAUUACAAGAACAACAAGAACCAAACGGUUCACUAGACUACACAACUAGUACAUGAUAUGUAAAGAUAGGAAGUGAGACUACACUAUUACAAGGUUAAGAACCUAAAGAUGUAUUAAAUCUAAGGACCCCUAAGACUUACAAUAGCAACAUCACACUCUUACGUGACACAAGAGGGAUUCCACCGCUCAAGCACCAACGUUUCCAAGCAAUACACAAUCACAAGUGAAUCCACACUUGUUCAUGUCCUAGUUUAGGUCUAGAGACCCUCUCUCUCAAGAGAUAUGUUCUUUCAACAAUAUCCAACAAAAACUAAUGAACUAAAACCCUAUAUUGUUCUAUUUAUAGUACUUUACAAAUAAAAAGAUAAAAUGACAAAAAGACUCUUUAAUGACCAAGUAGACAAAUAGGCACCCAUGGACUGCUUUUAAGGGCAGUUUGGAGCCCUUUUUAACACUUCAACUCGUACACCUCCGAGGUUACAUCCAAAAUACUCAAAAACGUUCAUCUUCAUGAUCGUACUUGUAUCAUCCUCUCCAUCUUGACCUCACAUUCAUGGCACUAGCCAAAUGAAAAUGGCUCCAAAACAGUCCACAAAAUAAGAAGAAACCGAGAACACAACAAUUUCAAGUCUCGGCCAACGUCUUCAUUUUGCACCUUGGCUUCCUCUCUAUCUUAAGAUUUGCCUUCAAUCUCAUCCGGCUCAAUUGAGUUUAGCCAAGAAGUUUCACUACAAAACAACAAACGGGUUAGUUGUAAAAGAAAGGUCCUCACACUCUCUCUUUAUUUCUUUGUUCUCGGAUUCCUCAUACUUAAUCUCACAAUUGUUGUAUGCUUGUUUGUACUCCGUGAGGUGUUGAGAGGUGAAUUCCAAUGUUUACAACGACUCCAAAAUAGAAAAAAAAUACACAAGGACGUAUACACAAAGAACGGUUUCAAACCAACUCACAAUCUAGUAAGUGGUUACUAGCUUGUAAGUUAGUAUUGAAAUCAACAAAAGAAACAACAAAAUGAAACUAGAAGAUCAAAUUUGAGCUUAAAAUUUAUCGUGUGAACAAUAGUUGGUGACGUGUCACCCCCUAAUUGGUCACGGGGUCAUAAGUUUUAAUCACCAUUCUUGAAAUUUUUAGUCCUUAUACUUUUGGAAUGGAAAACAAUUAGUAUUUGGAGGGAAAAAUACAAGCCUUGUAACUCUUUUCAAAUUCAAUUCAAAAAGGUGAGAUUAGACUUGUACUAAUUUCCACAAAACAAGGCUCCUAAAAACAAGGAAAGUGGUUGAAAAAGUUGUUGUCAAGUCAAGAGUGAUGUGAGCUAGUCCUUUCACCAACAAGUCUUUCAACUUUGUCUUCACCUUUUCUAGAUCUAUUAACUACUUUAAGUUGGUCAAGAUAAGAGAAGUGACGAAGAACAACAAGAACACAAUAACUUUUCAAGAACAACAACAACAACAGCUUCAACGCGCACUCCAACCUCCACAACAAGUCCACAAAUUUCAGUCUAGGUCUUUGUUCACAACACAACUUUAACAAGUUUUUAAGCUCAAAUAUAGAUCUAGAUACCUUUUAAUGUUAGUGAAUCAAGAAACAACAAUAACAACAAAGAAAUCCUAGACCUAGACUCCGCAAAUUUCGGCCAAGACUACAACAAGAACACUACAAGUUUCUCGGCCAUGAACAAGAACAAAAACAAGAACACUUCUUUCUAUUUUUAUUUUUUAAUUUUCUAGCAAGCCCAAGAUUGAUUUUGUUGGAACAAAAUCAACCACAAGCUUUGAUACCAAUGAUACGAUACAAAUUUGGUACGUAUCAAAAACAAGCCAAAAAUAGUCCACAAACAAAGGGUAACCCGAGAGCUCAACAAACACCAAAUCUCGGUUCUAACAACAUCAAGAAACAAGGUGUAAAUGACACCAAAAGCACUAACAACAACAAGAGAUAAACAAUAAUAACGAGAGGAACAACACUACAAUAACAACAAUCCAACGGUUACAAGAUUACAAGAACAACAAGAACCAAACGGUUCACUAGACUACAC
Molecule: long non-coding RNA, 2311 nt
Filed under: Capsicum annuum
Lineage: Eukaryota; Viridiplantae; Streptophyta; Magnoliopsida; Solanales; Solanaceae
Description: long non-coding RNA (CANN_LNC005575)
Source: RNAcentral